UACAGAGGGUGCAAGCGUUGUUCGGAAUUAUUGGGCGUAAAGGGUGCGUAGGCGGUGCGGUAAGUCUGUUGUGAAAUCUCCGGGCUCAACUCGGAGCCUGCAACGGAAACUGCCGUGCUUGAGUAUGGGAGAGGUGAGUGGAAUUCCCGGUGUAGCGGUGAAAUGCGUAGAUAUCGUCAAGAACACCAAUAGUGAAGACAGUUUACUAGACUUCAACUGACGCUGAGGCACGAAAGUGUGGGGAUCAAACAGG
This 253-nucleotide ribosomal RNA is filed under the name uncultured bacterium. RNAcentral's name for it is "partial 16S ribosomal RNA". It matches the Rfam family "Bacterial small subunit ribosomal RNA", at positions 524 to 776 of the family's 1533-position model. The record is from RNAcentral.